Non-coding RNA from Cajanus cajan (pigeon pea), 118 nucleotides. The record is from Rfam. Lineage: Eukaryota; Viridiplantae; Streptophyta; Magnoliopsida; Fabales; Fabaceae.
GAGUCGUGUGAUAAACACAAAGCGAACUAUUCUUUCGCCUUUUACUAAAGAAUACCGUGUGUUUGUCAGUAUAAAGCGGCAUACGCCAAUUUUUUAAAAGGGUCUUCUAAAGGGCCCU